This is a long non-coding RNA of Acanthochromis polyacanthus (spiny chromis), 374 nucleotides long. RefSeq lists it as uncharacterized. Lineage: Eukaryota; Metazoa; Chordata; Actinopteri; Pomacentridae. The transcript is spliced from 2 exons. The record is from RefSeq and is a predicted model, not a curated record.
CAUCAAUGUUCGUUGAUGAACUGAAGCAUGGAAACAUUUCACUGAAGAUCUCCAAAGUAAAACCGGCUGAUGCAGGGAGAUACAGAUGCUUUACUAUUGAGCUAAAUAAAGACACUUUCAUGGAUCUUGUUGUAGUUUCAGGUGCUGUUCCUCAACCUGUCAUCACUUUAGCAGGAGUUGAUGGAAAGGGAGGAGUGGAGUUACAGUGUGAGUCUGCAGGCUGGUAUCCAGAGCCUGAGGUGUUGUGGCUGGACGGUGAUGGAAACCUCCUCUCUGCUGGACCUACAGAGACAGUCAGAGGUCCUGAUGACCUCUAUACUGUCAGCAGCAGAGUGACUGUGGAGAAGAAACACAGCAACAAGUUCACCUGCAGA